Molecule: ribosomal RNA, 460 nt
Filed under: uncultured bacterium
Lineage: Bacteria
Description: partial 16S ribosomal RNA
Rfam family: Bacterial small subunit ribosomal RNA
Source: RNAcentral
CCGACGGGGGGCAUCAUUAAGGAGUAUUGGUCAAUGGGCGCGAGCCUGAACCCUCCCCUCCUCUUUCCUUCUUCCUUCCCUCCUUUUUUUCCCCUUCUUUUCUCCCUAAAUAAGGUGAGGCACGUGUGCCUUUUUGCAUUUACUUUAUGAAUAAGGAUCGCCUAAAUCCGUGCCAGCAGCCGCGGUACUACGGAGGGUCCGAGCGUUAUCCGGAUUUAUUGGGUUUAAAGGGAGCGUAGAUGGGUUGUUAAGUCAGUUGUGAAAGUUUGCGGCUCAACCGUACAAUUGCAAUUGAUACUGGCAGCCUUGAGUACAGUUGAGGUAGGCGGAAUUCGUGGUGUAGCGGUGAAAUGCUUAGAUAUCACGAAGAACUCCGAUGGCGAAGGCAGCUUACUAAACUGCCACUGACAUUGAUGCUCGAAAGUGUGGGGAUCAAACAGGAUUAGAUACCCCUGUAGUC